This 466-nucleotide ribosomal RNA is filed under the name uncultured Desulfobulbus sp. RNAcentral's name for it is "bacterial SSU rRNA". It matches the Rfam family "Bacterial small subunit ribosomal RNA", at positions 923 to 1382 of the family's 1533-position model. Lineage: Bacteria; Pseudomonadati; Thermodesulfobacteriota; Desulfobulbia; Desulfobulbales; Desulfobulbaceae. The record is from RNAcentral.
GCACAAGCGGUGGAGUAUGUGGUUUAAUUCGAUGCAACGCGAAGAACCUUACCUGGUCUUGACAUCCCGGAGACCCUUAGGAAACUAGGGGGUGCUUCCAUCUGGAAGAAUCUGGAGACAGGUGCUGCAUGGCUGUCGUCAGCUCGUGUCGUGAGAUGUUGGGUUAAGUCCCGCAACGAGCGCAACCCUUGCCUUUAGUUGCCAGCACGUUAUGGUGGGCACUCUAAGGAGACUGCCGGUGACAAACCGGAGGAAGGUGGGGAUGACGUCAAGUCCUCAUGGCCUUUAUGACCAGGGCUACACACGUACUACAAUGGCCGAUACAAAGGGCAGCGACACUGCGAGGUGAAGCCAAUCCCGUAAAAUCGGUCUCAGUCCGGAUUGGAGUCUGCAACUCGACUCCAUGAAGUUGGAAUCGCUAGUAAUCGUGGAUCAGCAUGCCACGGUGAAUACGUUCCCGGGCCUU